This 377-nucleotide ribosomal RNA is filed under the name uncultured eukaryote. RNAcentral describes it as "partial 18S ribosomal RNA". It matches the Rfam family "Eukaryotic small subunit ribosomal RNA", at positions 592 to 976 of the family's 1831-position model. The record is from RNAcentral.
CAAUAGCGUAUAUUAAAGUUGUUGCAGUUAAAAAGCUCGUAGUUGGAUUUCGGGGCAGCCUGGCUGGUCCGCCGCAAGGCGAGUACUGGUCAGCCGCCCUUCCUCUCGAAAGCCCCGACUGCUCUUCGUUGCAGUGGUCGGGUAGUUCGGGACGUUUACUUUGAAAAAAUUAGAGUGUUCAAGGCAGGCCUACGCCUGAAUACAUUAGCAUGGAAUAAUGGAAGAGGACCUCGGUCCUAUUUUGUUGGUUUCCAGGGCCGAAGUAAUGAUUAAGAGGGACAGUUGGGGGCAUUCGUAUUUAAUUGUCAGAGGUGAAACUCUCGGAUUUAUGAAAGACGAACAACUGCGAAAGCAUUUGCCAAGGAUGUUUUCAUUAA